CGAAAAAGGUCGAAGUGGCGGCAAAAGUGAAGAGACGGAGAACAGUAACCAGCACAACCUCACUGUUUUCAGAGAGCCCGUGGCACGAAAAGCAACUUUUGUAGUUCUCCCAAGGAUUACGUCUGAAGCAGACAGAUCUUAUUGAAGAUGGUGUUGCAGGCAGUAGCAGGACCUUAACCAAGAUGGCUUCAUCUCUGAGAAAAGCCUGCAAUCGUGCUGUGUGCAAACUUCGAGUUCAAGGUCAAAUGAAAGUUGGUGGCCAUCAUUGCUUUUUUAUGCUGGACGAAAGCAAGUUCUCACACAAAAGAAAGG
Long non-coding RNA from Acanthochromis polyacanthus (spiny chromis), 312 nucleotides. RefSeq lists it as uncharacterized. The transcript is spliced from 3 exons. NCBI's taxonomy places the organism in Eukaryota, Metazoa, Chordata, Actinopteri, Pomacentridae. The record is from RefSeq and is a predicted model, not a curated record.